CAUCCUCAGCCUUACUCCAGGGGCUUUUGUUGUAAAGUGCCUUGGCAUUGCCUGAGGAUAGAUGAGAAAGCACAUCUCCCUCCCCAGCAAGACUCUGCUUUCUUGUGGGGCCUACAGACUGUGCUGACAGG
Molecule: small nucleolar RNA, 131 nt
Organism: Octodon degus (degu)
Lineage: Eukaryota; Metazoa; Chordata; Mammalia; Rodentia; Octodontidae
Gene: SNORA49
Product: small nucleolar RNA, H/ACA box 49
Source: Ensembl